Tympanuchus pallidicinctus (lesser prairie-chicken) is the source of this 5557-nucleotide long non-coding RNA. RefSeq lists it as uncharacterized. The transcript has 4 exons. The record is from RefSeq and is a predicted model, not a curated record. NCBI's taxonomy places the organism in Eukaryota, Metazoa, Chordata, Aves, Galliformes, Phasianidae.
AGUUGGAAUCCUGUGGCCUAAAAGGGGAGGUUGUAGUGAGCAGAACCCUAAAAAUAAGCAACCAAUGUGCAUACUUUUCUUUGUUUUAUAUUAGGAUAUAUAAAUGUUAUAUUCUAAAGGCCAUGGAAACCCUUACCUUGACAUCAAGCCCCAUAUUUCAUGCAGCAGAAGAAUUAUGCAUACAAGCACAAGGUGAUGAAUGGGAGAAGAAACCUGUCCCUCUAGGAAUGCUGAUUCCAAAAUAGUGAGCAUUUGCUUCACUCUGCUAACACCAAGGAGAUGGACUCCUUCUCCAGGUUUCCAGUCAAGGAGGAAAACAUGCUUUGAAACCAAGUACAUCUUUCUUAAGUUUAAUUGUAUUUCAAUACUAUGCAUCCCAAUUUCACAAACAGUUGCUACAGAAGUUCCUGAACUCAGACUGGUGUAUGAGGUAGCACUGAUGGCAUACUGCACGGCCACGCUUAUCGCACGCGCUGCACAUUCCCUCUGCCACCAGCAGCUGCACACACUGUGCUCCCAGCGUGUUGGGCUCCUCUGGCUCCAGUAUUUCGCACCGUGCCCGCCUGCAUGCAGAUAUUGCUGAGAACUCUCCUCUUCGAGAAUUCCCGCCUUCGUUUCUCCAAACAAACAGAGAAAGCAGCCUUGCAGAGGGCAUGCAGCCAGGAGGCAACAGGGCUGCCAGCCAGGCAGAGAGAAAUGCAAGAUUCCCUGCAGCUGGCAUCAUAGGAUGCCCCCACCAGAUCAGUCUGCUUGGAGCUCCAUCCAACCUGGCCUUGAGCACCUCCAGGUAUGAGGCACCUACAUCGGUGUAUAUCAGUGGUUAUAUUUUGAUGUAAAAUGUGGUAUUAAGCUUGCAAAUCUUCUCUCCUUCUUUUAUGGGAUGGGAUAGGGAAGAUCUACUCUCAUGUAUAAAAAGGAGAAUAUCCUCCGUAUGUGUUAGGCAGGAUGUGAUGCUGCAUCCCAGUAUAAAACCGUAUUCACAUCCACAGCACAGCCCUCAUCUCCUGCCUGUGAUAUGUAGAGGAUCUUUCCAUCCAGCAGACAGCUUUGUGGCUCAUCUCAGAGCAAAGCUGUCUAUUUUUGCCUGCAGAACCAAUGCAUUAACAUGGAGGAGUGGCACCAACAAGAAUCGCUGGAGCUGCUGCCCGGCACCCAGUCCCCUAUUUCUCCUUCAAAUCUUUUUUUUCCAAUUAAAUUAAUUUAAAAUGAAUGAAAAAAUGCGUCAUGCCCUAAGAUCCUGAAAGCUCUGGUGUCAGCUGAAAGCAGCAUUCCUGCUCCCAGCUGCAGCCCUCGCUGCAGGCACCUCUGCUUUGAAGCCUUUGAAGUGGCUGUGGCACAGGCAAGGCUCUCUGUGGAGAAAGGCAGUCAUUUUAUAUAUAUUUAAUGUGUAAAGUGUGGGUGUUUGUGUUAGCAUAACCGAUUCUUACAAUGCACAGAGAAUGUUGUGGAAGAGUUCUUGACCUGCAGAACCAAAUUGCAGAAAAAACCCCCAGCGGUCAUGGUAGGAUGGGUCCUUCCCACCCCAAAUUGUGUAAAUUGGGUAAGUGUAGCCAGACAGCUGCAGAUGAAAGCAUGAAAAGUGCUUCUUUGGUGCUCAUUUUAUAGAUGAAUUUAUUGUUUAUAAGAGCGAGAGACUGAAACAUUUCUUCCAGCAUCGGGAUUUACUUUUAGUGGAAAGAAUGCUGUUGGGAUGUGAUGCAAGAACAAUGCAAUAAAUGUGAUUAAUGGUUGGUUUUUGGAGCUAAUUACUGGGCUCACUUGGUAAUGACCUUGAUCCUAGGAGCGCUGUGUGUGGCUUGGGAGGCAGACUGUGUGUGAGAGAUGAUCUGAUAUAUAGUUGUAUGUGAGCGAAGGACCCACCUCAGCAAUCACUGGCACUAAUUCAGUGGUUGAUUUGUCUAAAUUGAUAAAUUUCCCUACGGUUUAUUUAUUAUUUUUUUUUCAAGGAGAGAUUCAAAAUUGAUGCCUCUAUUUCAGAAUCAACACCAUUUAUUCACCACACACCACGAUCAUUCCAGCCUGUAAAGGACAAGGUUUCAGCUCCAGCUCCUCAACCAUCUCAUUGCAUGCCAUCAGAGCAACAGUGCCGUGUGCUCUGGUGAAUGACUCCUCCAACAGACUGUUUUUCUUCUCGGCAUUCGUCGCUUGCUCUUUUAUUUAUUUAUUUAUUUAUCUAUCUAUUUAUUUUCUUGCUUUUAUGAAGCCAUCAUUAAUCUAAUCAGUGAAUGUCGCGCAAGAAUAUUUUCUCUUUUUUGCAGACCCUAACGCUUAUCAAACUUCGGUCUACUCUUGCACAACCAAAUGUUCUGUAUCUACCAUUUGGGUUAAUUAGAGUGCAUCCUUUACAGCUCUGAUAACAAUCAGUAUUGUACCAUCAUACAUAGCAUCUUUUGGAUUCAGGAAAGAGUUUGUGCGACUAAGAAAUAUGAAGUUCUAGAAGAUGAGAGCAUCAUAUGUACUCAUUACAGCUCUGGAGAUAAAUGCAGCACUUCAAUACACCUUAAAAAUAGAUAAUUGUUUUGAAGAGGUGGAGAGUAUUCAUGGGAAAGAGAUGAGAAGGAAGAAAGAAGAUCCUCUGAAUACUCAGCAUUGACGUGGAGCCAAGCAGGGUUGCAAGGAGCCUUCUCUGAUCCUUUCAGUGCAUGGUGACAGGGCUCUGUGUCCCAAGAGAAAGAGUGGUGAAGUGAAUGAGGAAACAAAUGCAUUUCUGUAGGUGAUGUAUUUUUUUCAAUUCAGAUGCUUUUUUAAGGAAGUAGGGGAGAAAAAUGUACUUCUCAAAUGUCAAGUACUUGAAAGACUAAAAAUAGAUCACCGGAAUAAAUAAAUUAACCCAGAAGAGAGGACUGAUUCUCUGCAGGCAUCAGGGAUUAAAUAAAUUCACUAAAUUCAAAGUGGUAUUCCAGAUAAGAGCUCUUUGUGCUGCAGCAUGUACAGCUUAUUGAUUAUAGGAUUGAGGUGCUGUGCACUCUUGUAAAAUGUACUCCGGCUGAUACAACUUAAUCCUGUGGUAACGUACAGCAUACAGCCCUGCACACCAAGCAUGGAGCUAGCUUAUAUUUUCUUGUUUAUUUUAAUUUUGUCCCUGCCUUCAUUUGCUGCACCACAUCUGUGCCCUCUCAUUCCCAGGCAGCACUCAGCAUAAGUGCUGAGGUGCCUCCAAACACACUGACUCAGCAUGAUAAGAGCUGUGCUGCCAAGCAGGAGCUGACAGGGAAGAGUCUGUGGGAACUUCCUCCUGUUACAUCCCCACCCAGAGGAAGGUAAAGCCUGAGCACCUCAUUCUUUCCUUGUAUGCCAUGGGCUGGCUGCAAGGUUGGGACCCCGAGCACUGGUGAUGCCUAGUUGACACAAGGGGCAGAGCGUACAGAGACAUUCUCUCUGCAGACGUACAUGCAUCCAUCAAAGUGUUGGAAGUAUGCAUAACUAAGGUGAAAGCACUCCCUGUUGGAUUCUUCUGGGCAUGCAGAACAAGUAGAAAGUUUUGUAAGUCCUGCUGGGUGAAAGCAAGCCAUUCCAGAGUGAAAUUAUACACCUAAGUGCAUUUUGGUUAUCUUACAGUUAAUAUCCUCAAUCUCCAUCGUUACUAAAGAGAAAAACCAUCUCCUGAUACGAGCUGGUGCUUACAGACAUGUCACAAGCACAAUGAAGGCCUAUCCUCAGCCUUCUGCUUGGGUGUCAGUGUGUUCCAUUGGUCUCAUCCUGCAUCACGUCCCCUCCUGAGCCCACAAACCCCAACCCUGGCAGUUGGAGAAGGCAGGGAGGGAAAGGAAGGAUGCACCUUGGCAUUGUCUGUGAUGGGCUCAUAGUUGGGCUCACACCUUCGCUCUCAGAAUGGAGACUCUCUGUUCAUACCUGUUCGCACAAAGAAGGCAACAGCUGUUUUCUGAAGUAGAGACACUACUCUCACCUUUCUGGCCAGAUGUGGAACAUCAAAGGAAGAUCUCCUGCCUCUACUGCUCAAACCAGGUCUUUGCAGGUUGCUCCAAAGAGCUGCAGACCUGUGAGUUUUACCACAGGAUUUGUCAAGAAAGAUGACACAAUCCCAGUCUGCCAGUGGUGACAGAAAGCUGCAGAGCACAGCAGUGCUACUGUCAUGCUGGGAAGAUUUGGUGCAUCCCUCUUGCCCCUCACCUAGCCCCUUACCUUAAGGAAUUCCUGGUUGCUAGUUUUCUCAGUCACCAAAAGUGUGGAUCUGACCAAGGAAAAUUCUGUUAUCAUUAUUUUUUUUUUUUGCCUCCCCUGGGAGAAAGUGAUGCAGAGGAACAAUUUGAAUGAGGGAGUUGCAGAGAAUUCAUCUUUGGGUAGCAUCCCAACUCCCCAUGUCUCUCUCCCACCUAUUUGACAGAUCUCCCAUUAUCUUACUUCACCAAAAUCAAGUCUCUUAAUUUCAAGGCACAUAGAGUCUACUGUGUAACACUGCCUGUGUGUGUGAUCCACAAGGCCUAUACUUUAACACCCAAGAUUCAUUAAUAUUUCCUGCAGAGUGCUCAGCAAGUAGCAAAUAAAGCAGGAAGUGUCCCAGAUGUUGGGAAGAAAAAAUGGAAUAAUUCAUUGCUUACUAACGUCAAAUGCUAAUGUGAGAAAAGCAUCCUUGAAGAAAUCCUUGACUAAAAUUCAUCAGUGAUGUGAAAUCACUGUUUUAAUUAUGCAUUUUUGAAUGUAUUUAUUAGUCUCAGUACUGAUCUGACUUACAGAUGUUUAACAGUGAUAAGAGUCUACUGCAGUCUCUGGAAUUACUCAUGAUUUAUAAUGACAAAACUUGGAUCAGAAUUAGGUCCUUGUCAGUACUCUAUAAUAUCCUUUCAUCAGACUUCUUUACAUGCAACAGAUGAAAGAGGCCGUGGUUUCCACAAUUUCAAACCCUGCUGCUGACUCCAUCAACUUAUUUUUUUUAAGCUUCUCCUCAGAAAUAAUGAUUCCCACACAAAAUUUUGUCUGUAUAAGGCAUACUUGCCACAAGAAAAACAUGAGGCCAAAAGACCUUAUAGUCCACCAAUAUGAUGGACUAUCUUGUGUUCAAUCUUGUGCUGACUACAGAUGUUGCAUUUUAUUACAGGUGCUAGUUAAUUUAAUUGUGCCAGUGUAUAAUGUCAUUUGCUAUAUCCUUAUUGUUGUGAUUAUUAGAAUCUGCUCAAUAUUAGAGUUUAAACAACAAAAAAACCCAACAUCUUCCAUUCAAGAAUGAUUCAAAGUCAUGAUUUUGAAAAGAAUGAUUGAGUUUUAAACUAUUGCUUGUUCUAGAGCUGAUCCAGAAGGAGCAAGUCUCCAGGGAUGGUUUACUCCCUAAGGCAUGAAUGCAUAAUUAAGCUAAAUGUAUUCCAUAAAUGCCUUGAUGACAUUAAACUAAAUUUUUUAAAGAACAGAUGGAGAAAGUUAAUAAAUAUUUCAUUCUGUAAUAUAAAACUCACUUCUGUAUUCACAACUUCAGGGAUCCUCAGCUUCACAGAUAUCAAUAAGUCUGAUGGAUUUCUUGCUGCAUUCUCAUACUUCUGCCCUGGUGUCUCUUAUGGGAUCAUCAUUUCUGCAUGCUUGGAUUGUUUUAUGGGAUCAGUGAAAG